UACGGAGGGUGCGAGCGUUGUCCGGAAUCACUGGGCGUAAAGGGCGCGUAGGCGGCGCGGAAAGUCAACGGUGAAAGCUCGGGGCUCAACCCCGAGUCGGCCGUCGAUACUUCUGUGCUUGAGCACUGUAGAGGCAGGUGGAAUUCCGGGUGUAGCGGUGGAAUGCGUAGAGAUCCGGAAGAACACCGGUGGCGAAGGCGGCUCUCUGGACCGAUACUGACGCUGAGGCGCGAAAAGCGUGGGGGAGCAAACAGG
Molecule: ribosomal RNA, 255 nt
Filed under: uncultured bacterium
Lineage: Bacteria
Description: partial 16S ribosomal RNA
Rfam family: Bacterial small subunit ribosomal RNA
Source: RNAcentral